UAGCAGUGUGACAUGCCCGUUUGGUGAUAAACUCUGAUUUAUUAUUUAGUAUUUAAUUGUUUGGGAUAACGGGGUGUUACAAUUGGU
Molecule: microRNA precursor, 87 nt
Organism: Medicago truncatula (barrel medic)
Lineage: Eukaryota; Viridiplantae; Streptophyta; Magnoliopsida; Fabales; Fabaceae
Rfam family: MIR2617 microRNA precursor family
Source: Rfam